Molecule: microRNA, 22 nt
Filed under: Homo sapiens (human)
Lineage: Eukaryota; Metazoa; Chordata; Mammalia; Primates; Hominidae
Description: hsa-miR-3146
Source: miRBase by way of RNAcentral
CAUGCUAGGAUAGAAAGAAUGG